GGGGCUUUGGAGGAAGAGGAGGAGGAGGAAGAGGAAGGUUACGCAUCCGAGGAGCCAACCAGGCGCAAAGGAAAAGGCUGGAUCCCAUGGGAAAGGGCCGGGCCGGAGGAGACGUCGGAUUCGCAACCAGCCCCAUCCUGGUCGUCCUCGUCAUCUCCAUCGCCGGCAUGGUUCCUGCAGGCCAGAUGUCACCGGCGGCGUCCAGCUCCGGACCGGAUUGAAUCGGAACCCAGGCCCAUGGAUUGGCCGCUUGGAGACGCGCCAAAGUAGCUGAGCUCCGGCUCGCCCCCGAAAAGGUCCUCGUUUUGCUCUCUUCCCAGCAAGAAAAGGGACAGCAAGGUUGGGUUCUUCGUCCCUCGGCGAAACGGGUCCGAUCGGAAGCGAAACCCAUUGUUGCUCACUCGGAGCAGAAGCAACCGAUCCGUCAGUCUCCUUCGUUGUAUAGAUACCUGCAUCCAUCUAGACUUGGGUCAGGGGUCAGUCCACUUUUGGGCAUUCCAGUGACUCAAUUUAUGGGAUUUUGUUUUGACAAGGACAGCAAGGUUGGCUUUUUUGUCCUUCAGCAAAACAGGUCCGAUCAGAAGCGAAACCCUCUGUUGCUCAGUCGGAGCAGAAGCAACCGAUCCGUUGGUCUCCUUCGUCAUCCUUGAACGAAUUACCCACAUCCAUCUCGACUUGAAUCAGGGGUCAGUCCACUUUUGGGCAUUCCAGUGACCCCAUUUCUGGGAUUUUGUUUUGACAAGGACAGCAAGGUUGGCGUCUUCAUCCCCGGCGAAACAGGUCUGAUCAGAAGCGAAACCCUUCCGUAGGACCUUCUGAUCGACCCAUCGUUGCUCACUUGGACUAGAAGCAACCGAUCCGUUGGUCUCCUUCGUCAUCCGUGAACAAAUUGCCCAAUUUUUGGACUUUGCCGGCAUCCAUCUAGACUUGGGUCAGAGGUCAGCCUACUUUGGGGCAUUCCAGUGACUCCGUUUCUGGGAUUUUGUUUUGAGAGGGACAGCAAGGUUGGCUUCUUCAUUCCUCGGCGAGACAGGUCCGAUCAGAAGAGUGACCCUUCUGAUUUACCCAUUGUUGCUCACCCAAAGCAGAAGCAACCAAUCCAUUGGUCUUCUUCGACAUCUAGAUACCUGCAUCCAUCUAGACUUGGGUCAGGGGUCCACUUUUGGGCAUUCCAGUGACCCCAUUUCUGGGAUUUUGUUGUGACAAGGACAGCAAGGUUGGCUUCUUCAUCCCUCGGCGAAACAGGUCCGAUCAGAAGCGAAACCCUUCCACAGGACCUUCUGAUCGACCCAUCAUUGCUCACUUGGACCAGAAGCAACCGAUCCGUUGGUCUCCUUUGUCAUCCUUGAACGAAUUACCCAAUUUUUGGACUUUACCGGCAUCCAUCUAGACUUGUCCCGAUAGGCCACCGAUGGUCUAGAUGUGAGCCACCCAUUUUGCCCUCAAAGUCCCCCCUUUUUUUGGCAUCAGACCCCUUUUAUUUUGGCAACGACAGCAACAGAUGUGAAACCUUUCCAGGAUACGUUGGACUCGACUGGUCACUCACCUGGGCUCGAAGCACAGGAGACGUUGGACUCGACUGGUCACUCACCUGG
This is a non-coding RNA of Anolis sagrei ordinatus, 1595 nucleotides long. NCBI's taxonomy places the organism in Eukaryota, Metazoa, Chordata, Lepidosauria, Squamata, Anolidae. The record is from RefSeq and is a predicted model, not a curated record.